This 301-nucleotide long non-coding RNA is filed under the name Ananas comosus (pineapple). RNAcentral describes it as "long non-coding RNA (ACOM_LNC019658)". The record is from RNAcentral. Lineage: Eukaryota; Viridiplantae; Streptophyta; Magnoliopsida; Poales; Bromeliaceae.
AAAUAUCGUGUAAUAUACCGAUUUUAAUAUAAAAGUAAAUAUAAAUAAAAAUAGUGUGAGAUGCUAUUUUUAUUUGACUUAAAGAAGUAAAAUAUAAGUCGGGAAUGACUUGUGCUGAAAUCGAAACGGAAACAGAAGAUUUAGAAUUUUCUGUAAGAAACGGAGCUGAUAUUUUAGCAGAAAAUUCACAGUGUCAGAAAAUUAUGAAAAUCUGAAAAUAUGUCGGGAUAAUUUUUAUGAGGCUAGAUUUAAAGUUUCAUAUCAUUCCGACAUCCGAAAAGUGAAAAAUAAAAUCCGACUG